This 353-nucleotide unclassified non-coding RNA is filed under the name soil metagenome. RNAcentral's name for it is "partial contains 5.8S ribosomal RNA, internal transcribed spacer 2, and large subunit ribosomal RNA". The stretch from base 1 to 121 matches the Rfam family "5.8S ribosomal RNA", at positions 35 to 154 of the family's 154-position model. The record is from RNAcentral.
GAUGAAGAACGUAGCGAAAUGCGAUAAGUAAUGCGAAUUGCAGAAUUUCCGUGAGUCAUCGAAUCUUUGAACGCACAUUGCGCCCACUGGUAUUCCGGUGGGCAUGCCUGUUCGAGCGUCAUUAUCCUCCCUCAAAACUCCUGUUUUGGUGUUGGGCCGCGUUGGUCACCUCCGACCAACGGGCCUUAAAGACAAUGACGGCGUCCGUGGGACCCUCUUCGCAGUGAGCUUUUGUUAGCGCGCGUUGCGUUUAAAGGACCUUCCGGGCCGGCCACCUUUUAUCUAUUUUACAAGGUUGACCUCGGAUCAGGUAGGAAUACCCGCUGAACUUAAGCAUAUCAAUAAGCGGAGGA